Molecule: ribosomal RNA, 253 nt
Filed under: uncultured bacterium
Lineage: Bacteria
Description: partial 16S ribosomal RNA
Rfam family: Bacterial small subunit ribosomal RNA
Source: RNAcentral
UACGGGGGGGGCAAGCGUUGUUCGGAAUUACUGGGCGUAAAGGGCUCGUAGGCGGCCAACUAAGUCAGACGUGAAAUCCCUCGGCUUAACCGGGGAACUGCGUCUGAUACUGGAUGGCUCGAGUUUGGGAGAGGGAUGCGGAAUUCCAGGUGUAGCGGUGAAAUGCGUAGAUAUCUGGAGGAACACCGGUGGCGAAGGCGGCAUCCUGGACCAACACUGACACUGAAAAGCGAAAGCCAGGGGAGCAAACGGG